UUUUUAGAACUCAUUUUAUUUCAGUGGCACAAUUCGUGAUAUACAAGGUCAAAUUUCUUUCUAACUAGAAUUCAUUUCACAUUGAAGAAUACAUGAUGUGAUGAGAUGCGUUGAUGAGAUACAGAUGGUGGCAGGGAUCAACCCUCCACGACCAAAGCCUUAAAACAAGGAGACAUAGCCCUAAAACAAGAACCAAAAUAAUUUUAGCAGACCAGACCGAAAAUUCAUGAAAAUGACUCUGAGAUCUACUUUAAAACAUUCAAGACACACGAUCAAAGAACAUAGACAAAUCUGAUUGUAGAAGAACCACGAAAACCGGAUAAAUAUGAAAAGCUGCUUAAGAAAAAAAACAUUAGAGGGCCUUGAUAAACUGCUCCGAAAACGGAGUCCCAAGGACAACAUUGACAUAUCCAAAUCUUGAGAUCUCUUUAUAUUGCUCCGGAGAAGCGGAGCCAACGAGACUGCAAGGAAAAGCCAGAACGAAGACGCAAUAUAUUCUUCUCGAGAGAACAUAACAAGGAGCAAACUAGCGAUGGUGGAGACUUCUACAACUGAAGCGGAAAAGUACUGGUAGAUGAACCACCUCUGCCGAAAUGAAAACGGCCAGAUCUGCAACAAUAACAAACCAAAACAGUAGCCAGAUCCAGACUUGAAAGGCAUAAACGAUCUUUAAUUUGUGUCUACAAGCAGAAAUCCGGAACCAAAACAGAGAAAAUACACGUCUACACCAAGUUAGAAACAACGACAACCCCCCUUCUUAAACACUAUCUCCUUUCCGAUUAGGUUAUCAAACUAGAGAUCUUUAGAUUUCGCCAUUAAUACAAGAAAAAGAUCCCCACCAUAGCAUGAGACAAAACUUAAGCAAGACAUAUCUUAAAAGAACCACACGGAAAUGAUUUACAAACAUGAGAGCACUACCGGAGCUGAAGAUUUGAAAAUCUGAAAGGUUUUUGGUGAAGAGAGAAGAUGAAGAGUUUAGGGUAGAGAAAGAAGAUAAGGUUAAUUUUAGGGCUUAUUUGCAGAAUAACCAUAUUUUGAAUAUAAAUUAGGUGACUGGCAAUGAUUUUGACAUAAUGCAAUGUCAGUCGUUUAAACUUUAAAUUGUCCAAUUUUAUCCCUUCGCUUAACAAGUUUCCAGUUGCAAGUGAGAGAUUAGAUGACGCCGUG
This 1167-nucleotide long non-coding RNA is filed under the name Brassica rapa (field mustard). Its description in RNAcentral is "long non-coding RNA (BRAP_LNC005711)". Lineage: Eukaryota; Viridiplantae; Streptophyta; Magnoliopsida; Brassicales; Brassicaceae. The record is from RNAcentral.